CACAAAUUCUACUCCAAUUUUUCUUAGAGCCAUCUUCAAACGAAUGAAACAUUUUGUUUGUUCUUUACAGAUUCACUCUGCCAGCAACAUAAUCUCCUGUAUACCAGGCCUAGUGAAAGUGUGUGAGACACACAGGUUCUGAAACAGAGCCAGAUUCAUUUCUACACCUCCUUGAAAAAAUAAAUAAAAGCCUUAAGUUACCAGAACAAAACCCUGUUUACAAUUGUGCAAGGCAGUUUUUCAACGAAAAUAGUAAAAGCAAGAACUCCUGUCUAAGCUAAUGAUUGCAAUACUUGACAAAAACGAUGGUACCUUCAAUCCUCAUUAAAAGUUUGAGAAGUCUCUGUCUGCACUAAUAACUCAAAAACAGCAUCACUAGAAGUCAGAAAGAAAAAAACAACUCCAUUACCGAGCAGAAGACUUCCUCCCCCUCUUCUUUAAGACCUGGCAAUUCCAACUCCUCAGCCUGAUGCAAUCUUUGCUUAAAUCAUCUAGGGCUGUGAAACACAGCAAACCCCACUUAGAGCCUAAUAGGACACCAGCACUUUAAUCAAGAGACUUGAGUUGUCUGCUCAUGUCUCACUCCUUUUUCAGCAACUAAAUAGCAAAAUUUUCAAGGAACUUACAUAUCUGAACUCAAAAGUGUUUUGAGGCAGCAAGCACCCAAACAAAAGAUUCUAAUGAACAGGAUAAAACACUGGCAUUUGAAUUGCUGAAUUUGAUAGCACUUUUUGUUGUUUUGAACCGCAAAAUGAGCAAUCAGAGGCACCAGAAAUCCCGAAUUUCUUGUUAGACAGGUUUGGCACUCUCACCUGAAGCUGGAUGAAAACCACAGAGUGAGCUCAACUCUGAAGCACACUGCAAAGUGUGUAGCUUAGAAUGCAAGAAUAAGGAGCACUUCAGGAAAAGGUUCAGAUUUUUAUUGUAUUUUGAAAGUGAAGCAAAAUGCAAGUAUUCCAGCCUCAUCCCCACAGCACUCCAAGGCAAGGCUGAUGAAGAGACCUUGCAGAUUGCAAGAUUUCAGCUCAGUUUUACCUGGAGCUGAGCAAAAGGAGGGGCACAGGCAGGAGCCAAGGCUGCCUGGCAGGGCUCAGGAUGCUGCAGUGCCCAGGGAUGGGUGUGGAACCAGAUUUCAAACAAGUAUUCAAUUCAAGUUUCAUAGAAGCAGAAAGAUGCAACCUCACAACCAGACCUUCCUGUCCUGGCCAGCACUGGGAAGCAGAGUUUCACUGGAGUGCCUCUGCUGUCAAGCUCCCAUCCCCAAAUUUCCACUUCUGAUGGUGGCUCCUCAUGCAGCUUCUGCAACACCACUGUCAUGGAACCCCUUCACCUCAACCAAAUGCAAGAGAACUGAAAGGCAUGGUUAUCUCACACAUCCCAGAGCAAGAAAGCAAGGGAGGAGGGAGAGAGAGGAGGGGAAAGAGUCUAAAUUUAGGUAUUUACUUACUGAAACACAGAAAAGAACACACAUCCAGGCACCACGCUGGCAGAAAUCCCAGCAGUCAGGGCUGUGGAGCUUUGCUUCCAGCAAGGAUUUCUUUGCCUGAAGCUCCACAGGAGCCUUCUCCCCCUCUCACAGGAG
This is a long non-coding RNA of Passer domesticus (house sparrow), 1582 nucleotides long. RefSeq lists it as uncharacterized. The transcript has 3 exons. The record is from RefSeq and is a predicted model, not a curated record. NCBI's taxonomy places the organism in Eukaryota, Metazoa, Chordata, Aves, Passeriformes, Passeridae.